AGUGAACGCUGGCGGUAGGCCUAACACAUGCAAGUCGAACGGCAGCACAGUAAGAGCUUGCUCUUACGGGUGGCGAGUGGCGGGCGGGUGAGGAAUACAUCGGAAUCUACUUUUUCGUGGCGGAUAACGUAGGGAAACUUACGCUAAUACCGCAUACGACCUACGGGUGAAAGCAGGGGAUCUUCGGACCUUGCGCGAUUGAAUGAGCCGAUGUCGGAUUAGCUAGUUGGCGGGGUAAAGGCCCACCAAGGCGACGAUCCGUAGCUGGUCUGAGAGGAUGAUCAGCCACACUGGAACUGAGACACGGUCCAGACUCCUACGGGAGGCAGCAGUGGGGAAUAUUGGACAAUGGGCGCAAGCCUGAUCCAGCCAUACCGCGUGGGUGAAGAAGGCCUUCGGGUUGUAAAGCCCUUUUGUUGGGAAAGAAAAGCAGCAGGUUAAUACCCCGCUGUUCUGACGGUACCCAAAGAAUAAGCACCGGCUAACUUCGUG
RNAcentral lists this ribosomal RNA (492 nucleotides) under uncultured bacterium. RNAcentral describes it as "partial 16S ribosomal RNA". It matches the Rfam family "Bacterial small subunit ribosomal RNA", at positions 29 to 507 of the family's 1533-position model. The record is from RNAcentral.